Molecule: small nucleolar RNA, 67 nt
Filed under: Trypanosoma brucei brucei TREU927
Lineage: Eukaryota; Euglenozoa; Kinetoplastea; Trypanosomatida; Trypanosomatidae
Description: H/ACA snoRNA, TB8Cs2H1
Rfam family: Trypanosomatid snoRNA TB8Cs2H1
Source: RNAcentral
ACACCUCCGCUUCGCUCGUGGCAUUCUUCCAGUGAGCGCACUUACGAUGGAUGGUGGAGGAAGAAUA